Molecule: long non-coding RNA, 1402 nt
Filed under: Cyanistes caeruleus (blue tit)
Lineage: Eukaryota; Metazoa; Chordata; Aves; Passeriformes; Paridae
Description: lncRNA (ENSCCEG00000005401.1)
Source: RNAcentral
AGGGGAGAAGCCAUUUAUUUACCACUGCAUCUAUUUAAAUAGAGUUAACUGUCCCAUUUGCUCAUUUUAAGCGUUGCCUUUUCCAGCAUUUCAAGGGUUUAAAGCUGUAUUUCAGGGCACUUCUACCCACACCCCGGCACCAAAUAUUUCCAGCUGGGGCUAGGCCAGCAGGUAUGUAAUGGUAAUGCCACCUGGGAGUCCAUUCCUUUUCUUAUUUUCAUUUAUAACGUAGAGAGCCCUGAUUAAAGGUCCCUAUGAGACACCAUCCAAAUCAAUACUAUUCUUCCCCACCCUAAUUAAUCACAGGUGGAAUGCUACUUAGUAAUCACUGAAAAAUAAUUAUGGAAGCCCAUAAAUUAUCCAACUUAGCUGGCAACACUGCUGAAACACCAAGUUUUUCUUCUCACCUUUUUUUUUUGUCCUUUGCUCCAUUGUUCUGAGUAAUUGUAGCAAAAAAGAAAACAGUGUUUUUUCCCAAAGAGUUUUCUUCUACACAGAGCUCCUUACCUGAAAUUUAACUCAGAGAAGCCAAACAGCUACGGUCCCUCUGAGGGCCUUUAUACCCGGUGGGAUUUGCCGCCUCCCCUUUCCCAGGCAUCGUGGGAAAAAGAGGCGGGCCCAAUUAGGGGUAUAUUAACCCCAGGCUGUGCUAAGGGGCAUUAUUCCUUCCAGGGGAAUCAGCAGGGGUAAAGAGCUCCUCUCUCAUUUCAGUGAAGAGGCUCUUUCAACUUAUUUUAGCCUGCUAAAAGUGGGCAUAUUUUGGGCAUUUGAAGCAGCAGAAGUUUUGAAAACACCUUCAAAAAAACAAUAUUGAAUACAGGGAGUAUUUAAGUUUAUGAUUUUGGGUUGGGGGUUCAGGGGCAAUAAGACAGUUCUGUAAUGACUCUUCUCCUUGGAUUUUUUUUAGGAGGAUUGCAAUUUCCAGAAGUUCUAGAUGCAGAUGGUUUGACCUCGUGGCAGAGCAGCUGUCCCAGAUGAGGGGGUCCCCCUGAGAAGGUGAUGAUACUUGUCUGAGACAACAGCCCGGUGAGAGAAGAACUUCCCAGACAGCGAGGUGGCUUUGUUUGGCUCUCGACCGGCCUCUCGCCGUGACUCACAUCUUCAGCCCUCUGAGAGAUAAGUGGAGCCCACAGAGGGGAUCAAAGCAGGGCGAUGCAGACAGAUUGACCUCAUGGCAGAGCACUGUCCCAGAUGAGGGGGUCCCCCUGAGAAGGUCGGUCACGGUUUUACUUUGCAGCAGGGCUGGAACCGGUCACUGUGUUACAGCUCUGCUCUUUGUAUUUAUUUCUAGGAAGUAAAGCCGGAUAGCAGCGGGGAAGGCGAAGCAGGUGGAAGGUGAGCCUCGGUUGGUGGAGAGAAGCAGUUGUUCUUGCUGGGGUCGCAGUUUCUGCUACAACUCCAA